This 478-nucleotide ribosomal RNA is filed under the name uncultured bacterium. RNAcentral's name for it is "partial 16S ribosomal RNA". It matches the Rfam family "Bacterial small subunit ribosomal RNA", at positions 28 to 507 of the family's 1533-position model. The record is from RNAcentral.
GAUGAACGCUGGCGGCGUGCUUAACACAUGCCAGUCGAACGAGAAGUGAAGACGGAAACCUUCGGGCGGAAGGCUUUAUUUCGAGUGGCGGACGGGUGAGUAACGCGUGGGUAACCUGCCUCAUACAGGGGGAUAACAGUUGGAAACGACUGUUAAUACCGCAUAAGACCACAGCACCGCAUGGUGCGGGGGUAAAAACUCCGGUGGUAUGAGAUGGACCCGCGUUCGAUUAGCCAGUUGGCGGGGUAACGGCCCACCAAAGCGACGAUCGAUAGCCGAUCUGAGAGGAUGACCGGCCACAUUGGGACUGAGACACGGCCCAAACUCCUACGGGAGGCAGCAGUGGGGAAUAUUGCACAAUGGGGGAAACCCUGAUGCAGCGACGCCGCGUGAGUGAAGAAGUAUUUCGGUAUGUAAAGCUCUAUCAGCAGGGAAGAAAAUGACGGUACCUGAGUAAGAAGCCCCGGCUAACUACGUG